GUACACACAAUGCAGCAAACCAGCGAACUGUUGUUGUCCCUCGAGGGGUCUCGUCCGGAGGCGAGGCMGUCGAUGGCAGGGAUCGGUCGAGAGGCCGGCCUGUGGGUGAAGCGGGUCCCCGCCAUCGGCUGGAGUGUCCCACAUUUGCGGUUCUGGUCGUGGGAAGCUGGCUGCCCCUCCGGGGGGAGCGAGUUGCUCAAGGUCGGAGUCGGGCCCUCCCCUCCCCCUUUGUCCCCGUCUUUGGGGGUUCUGGGGCCGUUUUUUCACACAGCACCAUGAGGAACAUGAAGUGAGAGACUGAGCCCGGGGAUCCGUGUGGCCUCUACGGAGGUGAUGCGGCCCGAGUCAAAAACCAAAACAAUGACUCUCAGCAACGGAUAUCUUGGCUCUUGCAACGAUGAAGAACGCAGCGAAAUGCGAUACCUAGUGUGAAUUGCAGAAUUCCGCGAAUCAUCGAGUCUUUGAACGCAAGUUGCGCCCGAGGCUUGUCCCGAGGGCAUGCCUGCCUGAGCGUCACCGCACUCCCACCUGGGCACUGUGUCCAGUGUGGAAAUGGCCGUCCGGGACCCUGCGUGCAGCAAUGGGUUGCGGUCGGCUGAAAUGCAGCGAUGUGGACGCAGCCGGGGAGAGAGGCCGCGAGAAGGUGAUCCGCUCUUUUGCUGAGUGGAGUCUAAUUGGACAGCGCCUCUCGUCCCGGUGGUCCGGUCGGUGACUUGGGGAGGGGGGAGCUUGGGCUCUCCCCGUCCCCCGUGUCGGUGGGGAGUGCGACCCGCGUUGCGGGUCCCGUCCCCCUAGAGCUUGGACCUCAGAUCAGGCAAGAUUACCCGCUGAGUUUAAGCAUAUCACUAAGCGGAGGAAAAGAAACUAACUAGGAUUCCUAGAACGCACAGACGAC
This 895-nucleotide ribosomal RNA is filed under the name Tetracymbaliella rodwayana. Its description in RNAcentral is "eukaryotic LSU rRNA". The record is from RNAcentral. Lineage: Eukaryota; Viridiplantae; Streptophyta; Jungermanniopsida; Jungermanniales; Brevianthaceae.